Molecule: non-coding RNA, 213 nt
Organism: Pelobates cultripes (western spadefoot toad)
Lineage: Eukaryota; Metazoa; Chordata; Amphibia; Anura; Pelobatidae
Source: the annotation of a GenBank genome assembly
GAGCGUUGCCGCGGGUUACCACGGCAACGCUCUGACUGGCUGAGAUCGCGAGACUAAACUUACCAUGUGGUCUGCAGCUCUGCACCCGGCGGAGCUGCAGACCAUAAAGGGAGCCCACCGGACCACCAGGGCUACAGCCUUGCCACCCACUGGAUCUCCAGGGAACAAAUUAAUCCCCAGGUAUUUAUGCCCUGCCCUCCUACCACCCUCUGC